Molecule: non-coding RNA, 97 nt
Filed under: uncultured Ruminococcus sp.
Lineage: Bacteria; Bacillati; Bacillota; Clostridia; Eubacteriales; Oscillospiraceae
Description: THF riboswitch
Rfam family: THF (Tetrahydrofolate) riboswitch aptamer
About the family: THF riboswitch presents a pseudoknot that joins P1-P2 and the loop of P3 and two THF binding.
Source: RNAcentral
GCAGAGUAGAAGCCCGCGCGUGAAGUGUCCUUUGAACGGGGAGUUGUCAGAGGAACGAAAAUCUCUAUGAUUGCGGUGCCGGCUUCGCAUCCCACUG